UACGAGGGGGGCGAGCGUUGUCCGGAAUUAUUGGGCGUAAAGAGCUCGUAGGUGGUUUGUUACGUCUGCUGUGAAAACCUAGGGCUUAACCCUGGGCCUGCAGUGGAUACGGGCAGACUAGAGGUAGGUAGGGGAGAAUGGAAUUCCCGGUGUAGCGGUGAAAUGCGCAGAUAUCGGGAGGAACACCAGUGGCGAAGGCGGUUGCCUGGGGCUUUGCUGACGCUGAUGCGCGAAAGCGUGGGGAGCGAUCCGG
RNAcentral lists this ribosomal RNA (253 nucleotides) under uncultured bacterium. RNAcentral describes it as "partial 16S ribosomal RNA". It matches the Rfam family "Bacterial small subunit ribosomal RNA", at positions 524 to 776 of the family's 1533-position model. The record is from RNAcentral.